Molecule: ribosomal RNA, 1372 nt
Filed under: uncultured bacterium
Lineage: Bacteria
Description: bacterial SSU rRNA
Rfam family: Bacterial small subunit ribosomal RNA
Source: RNAcentral
GAUGAACGCUGGCGGCGUGCCUAAUACAUGCAAGUCGAGCGAACGGACGAGAAGCUUGCUUCUCUGAUGUUAGCGGCGGACGGGUGAGUAACACGUGGAUAACCUACCUAUAAGACUGGGAUAACUUCGGGAAACCGGAGCUAAUACCGGAUAAUACUUUGAACCGCAUGGUUCAAAAGUGAAAGACGGUCUUGCUGUCACUUAUAGAUGGAUCCGCGCUGCAUUAGCUAGUUGGUAAGGUAACGGCUUACCAAGGCAACGACGCAUAGCCGACCUGAGAGGGUGAUCGGCCACACUGGAACUGAGACACGGUCCAGACUCCUACGGGAGGCAGCAGUAGGGAAUCUUCCGCAAUGGGCGAAAGCCUGACGGAGCAACGCCGCGUGAGUGAUGAAGGUCUUCGGAUCGUAAAACUCUGUUAUUAGGGAAGAACAUAUGUGUAAGUAACUGUGCACAUCUUGACGGUACCUAAUCAGAAAGCCACGGCUAACUACGUGCCAGCAGCCGCGGUAAUACGUAGGUGGCAAGCGUUAUCCGGAAUUAUUGGGCGUAAAGCGCGCGUAGGCGGUUUUUUAAGUCUGAUGUGAAAGCCCACGGCUCAACCGUGGAGGGUCAUUGGAAACUGGAAAACUUGAGUGCAGAAGAGGAAAGUGGAAUUCCAUGUGUAGCGGUGAAAUGCGCAGAGAUAUGGAGGAACACCAGUGGCGAAGGCGACUUUCUGGUCUGUAACUGACGCUGAUGUGCGAAAGCGUGGGGAUCAAACAGGAUUAGAUACCCUGGUAGUCCACGCCGUAAACGAUGAGUGCUAAGUGUUAGGGGGUUUCCGCCCCUUAGUGCUGCAGCUAACGCAUUAAGCACUCCGCCUGGGGAGUACGACCGCAAGGUUGAAACUCAAAGGAAUUGACGGGGACCCGCACAAGCGGUGGAGCAUGUGGUUUAAUUCGAAGCAACGCGAAGAACCUUACCAAAUCUUGACAUCCUUUGACAACUCUAGAGAUAGAGCCUUCCCCUUCGGGGGACAAAGUGACAGGUGGUGCAUGGUUGUCGUCAGCUCGUGUCGUGAGAUGUUGGGUUAAGUCCCGCAACGAGCGCAACCCUUAAGCUUAGUUGCCAUCAUUAAGUUGGGCACUCUAAGUUGACUGCCGGUGACAAACCGGAGGAAGGUGGGGAUGACGUCAAAUCAUCAUGCCCCUUAUGAUUUGGGCUACACACGUGCUACAAUGGACAAUACAAAGGGCAGCGAAACCGCGAGGUCAAGCAAAUCCCAUAAAGUUGUUCUCAGUUCGGAUUGUAGUCUGCAACUCGACUACAUGAAGCUGGAAUCGCUAGUAAUCGUAGAUCAGCAUGCUACGGUGAAUACGUUCCCGGGUCU